RNAcentral lists this ribosomal RNA (390 nucleotides) under Triticum aestivum (bread wheat). RNAcentral's name for it is "partial small subunit ribosomal RNA". Lineage: Eukaryota; Viridiplantae; Streptophyta; Magnoliopsida; Poales; Poaceae. The record is from RNAcentral.
AUGACAGGAAGCAAGGUCAUGUGUGAGACGGAGGAGGCAACUGAUUUGGCUCUUCAUCACGUUGGGACUGUUGCAGCCAUGUGUGAUGUGUCAAUUUCUAUGAUGGGACAGAGGAGGAAGAGAAACAUUAGGCGCAGGAAGAAGAAGCAAGUGCACAAGACCACGACCACUGAUGACAAGAGACUUCAAAGAACUUUAAAAAGAGUAGGAGUCAACACUACCGUAGUGCAAGCUUCACCUCACGCGCUGACCUCCCAAACGAUCACUUCCCCGUCAGUCGAUGUGAAGACGUGGGCCGCGCCAGUGUGGUGCAAGUCCUCCAGUUUACCUGGCGGCGCGACACCAGCCCUCAUGGCACAACUUAGGAUGCACGGCGACCAUGGGAUAUAA